RNAcentral lists this unclassified non-coding RNA (400 nucleotides) under soil metagenome. RNAcentral describes it as "partial contains 5.8S ribosomal RNA, internal transcribed spacer 2, and large subunit ribosomal RNA". The stretch from base 1 to 122 matches the Rfam family "5.8S ribosomal RNA", at positions 35 to 154 of the family's 154-position model. The record is from RNAcentral.
GAUGAAGAACGCAGCGAAAUGCGAUACUUGGUGUGAAUUGCAGAAUCCCGUGAACCAUCGAGUCUUUGAACGCAAGUUGCGCCUCAAGCCAUUAGGUUGAGGGCACGUCUGCCUGGGCGUCACAUAUCGUUGCCUGAUGCCAGUUUCCUCGUGAUGGGUGACUGUGCAGGGCGAAUGAUGGCUUCCCGUGAGCAUUGUUGCCUCAUGGUUGGUUGAAAAUUGAGUCCUUGGUAGGGAGCGCCGUGAUAGAUGGCGGUUGAGUGACGAACGAGACCCAAUCAUGUGAGACCCCUACCGAAUUUGGCCUUCAUGACCCACAUGCGUCUUUGGAACGCUCAUGACGAGACCUCAGGUCAGGCGGGGCUACCCGCUGAGUUUAAGCAUAUCAAUAAGCGGAGGA